Molecule: ribosomal RNA, 505 nt
Filed under: uncultured Sphingobacteriales bacterium
Lineage: Bacteria; Pseudomonadati; Bacteroidota; Sphingobacteriia; Sphingobacteriales
Description: bacterial SSU rRNA
Rfam family: Bacterial small subunit ribosomal RNA
Source: RNAcentral
CGUCCAGCCCGCUACAGAAAACUUUAAAGGAAUUCGACGGGGGGCCCGCACAAGCGGGUGGAGCAUGUGGUUUAAUUCGAUGAUACGCGAGGAACCUUACCUGGGCUCAAAUGUAUGUUGACGUAUUCUGAAAGGGAUACUUCUUCGGACAAUAUACAAGGUGCUGCAUGGUUGUCGUCAGCUCGUGCCGUGAGGUGUCGGGUUAAGUCCCAUAACGAGCGCAACCCCUAUCAUUAGUUGCCAUCAGGUCAAGCUGGGGACUCUAAAGGAACUGCCUACGCAAGUAGUGAGGAAGGCGGGGAUGACGUCAAAUCAGCACGGCCCUUACGUCCAGGGCUACACACGUGCUACAAUGGCCGAUACAGAGGGCAGCUACCUGGUGACAGGAUGCAAAUCUCCAAAGUCGGUCUCAGUUCGGAUCGGAGUCUGCAACCCGACUCCGUGAAGUUGGAUUCGCUAGUAAUCGCGCAUCAGCCAUGGCGCGGUGAAUACGUUCCCGGGCCUU